CUUCAUCCUUCAUCAUACUUCCCAACAGGUUGCUUCCUCUUCUAGAAUAACCACCAAGCUCAUUCUGAUCAUAUAAGCUUCAACACUUCUUAGCCUCUUGUUGAGAUGAGCCAAGUAUAUGUGGAGCAAGUGAGGAGUUGAGACUAAGGAGAUGAGUUGAAGCUUGGAAAGGUUUGAGUAAGGUCCGUACUGUCCGUACAUGACCGUACCAUCCAUACACAUGGAGAUGGGUAAAACCUUGACAAGAGUAAAGAAGUUACUUGGGGUAACUUAUGGGAAGGGAAGGAACUUACCUGGAUGGAUCAGACCGUUGAGGGAUAAGGAAGAGCGCGCCUUGACAGGCUGGAACAGCUGGAAA
Molecule: long non-coding RNA, 358 nt
Filed under: Brassica napus (rape)
Lineage: Eukaryota; Viridiplantae; Streptophyta; Magnoliopsida; Brassicales; Brassicaceae
Description: long non-coding RNA (BNAP_LNC002646)
Source: RNAcentral